This 721-nucleotide ribosomal RNA is filed under the name Boana albopunctata (spotted treefrog). Its description in RNAcentral is "partial 16S ribosomal RNA". It matches the Rfam family "Bacterial large subunit ribosomal RNA", at positions 1926 to 2925 of the family's 2925-position model. The record is from RNAcentral. Lineage: Eukaryota; Metazoa; Chordata; Amphibia; Anura; Hylidae.
AACGGCCGCGGUAUCCUAACCGUGCGAAGGUAGCGUAAUCACUUGUUCUUUAAAUGAGGACUAGUAUGAAUGGCACCACGAGGGUUAAGCUGUCUCCUUUUUCUAAUCAGUGAAACUAAUCUCCUCGUGAAGAAGCGGGGAUUAUAUUAUAAGACGAGAAGACCCUAUGGAGCUUAAAACAAAUUAACACUUGCUUCUACCCAUUUUUACUCCUGAACUAACACAUAAAAUAUAGCAUCGUUGAUUAAUAGUUUUCGAUUGGGGUGAUCAUGGAGUAAAAACCAACCUCCACGACGAAAAGGAACACUUCCCUGAGCUAAAAGCUACAACUUUAAGCACUAAAAAAUUAACGCACUUUGACCCAAAUUUUUGAGCAACGAACCAAGUUACCCUAGGGAUAACAGCGCAAUCCAUUUCAAGAGCCCCUAUCGACAAAUGGGUUUACGACCUCGAUGUUGGAUCAGGGUAUCCCAGUGGUGCAGCCGCUACUAAAGGUUCGUUUGUUCAACGAUUAAAACCCUACGUGAUCUGAGUUCAGACCGGAGAAAUCCAGGUCAGUUUCUAUCUAUAAAGGGCUUUUUCUAGUACGAAAGGACCGAAAAAGCAUGGCCAAUGAUCAAUUAAGCCAUAUAAAUUACUCAUGUUUUCAACUCAAUUAGAAACAAACCUACCAUAAACCUCAAAAAAAGAGAAGUUAACGUAGCAAAACCUGGCCCUGCAA